UACGGGGGGGGGCAAGCGUUGUUCGGAAUUACUGGGCGUAAAGGGCUCGUAGGCGGCCAACUAAGUCAGACGUGAAAUCCCUCGGCUUAACCGGGGAACUGCGUCUGAUACUGGAUGGCUUGAAUCCGGGAGAGGGAUGCGGAAUUCCAGGUGUAGCGGUGAAAUGCGUAGAUAUCUGGAGGAACACCGGUGGCGAAGGCGGCAUCCUGGACCGGCAUUGACGCUGAGGAGCGAAAGCCAGGGGAGCAAACGGGG
This 255-nucleotide ribosomal RNA is filed under the name uncultured bacterium. RNAcentral describes it as "partial 16S ribosomal RNA". It matches the Rfam family "Bacterial small subunit ribosomal RNA", at positions 524 to 777 of the family's 1533-position model. The record is from RNAcentral.